This is a long non-coding RNA of Pocillopora damicornis (cauliflower coral), 439 nucleotides long. RefSeq lists it as uncharacterized. The record is from RefSeq and is a predicted model, not a curated record. NCBI's taxonomy places the organism in Eukaryota, Metazoa, Cnidaria, Anthozoa, Scleractinia, Pocilloporidae.
AGACCAGUGAUUUAGGACAUGUUUUGGCGCCUGGUGACCAAUCACAGGCGAGGUUAAGUGUCAAGAUUUGUAAAGAACACAAGAAGUUUUGACAUCACUGCGCAGGUGGCGUGCAAUCAGCAAAACUGUUUUCUCGAUUUUUCAGCGAUCUAAUUUGGGAGAGUUUGUGAGGGUCUCCCCGAAGAAAGACAACUAUUCACUUGUAGUUAAUUUUUUUUGUAACGUCUGGAGGUUAUCAUGCCGAAGAAACAUUGCUGUUCGCUUCUGAAAUCACUGAAGGGAUUCGGUCAUUUCAUAAUUACACAUCUUCGCCCAAGAACUAUUCAUUCGACAGCUUGAAACGGAUUUGACAACACCAAGAUCUGCAGGAGGUACUUUCUCUAUCUUGGUGAGCCGCCAGCAAACCAGUGAAGAAGCGACAAUGUAUUGAAGAUUUAAA